This 497-nucleotide ribosomal RNA is filed under the name uncultured bacterium. Its description in RNAcentral is "partial 16S ribosomal RNA". It matches the Rfam family "Bacterial small subunit ribosomal RNA", at positions 28 to 507 of the family's 1533-position model. The record is from RNAcentral.
GAUGAACGCUGGCGGCGUGCCUAAUACAUGCAAGUCGAGCGAACGGACGAGAAGCUUGCUUCUCUGAUGUUAGCGGCGGACGGGUGAGUAACACGUGGAUAACCUACCUAUAAGACUGGGAUAACUUCGGGAAACCGGAGCUCAUACCGGAUAAUAUUUUGAACCGCAUGGUUCAAAAGUGAAAGACGGUCUUGCUGUCACUUAUAGAUGGAUCCGCGCUGCAUUAGCUAGUUGGUAAGGUAACGGCUUACCAAGGCAACGAUGCAUAGCCGACCUGAGAGAGUGGUAGGCCACAUUGGAACUGAGACACGGUCCAGACUCCUACGGGAGGCAGCAGUAGGGAAUCUUACGCAAUGGGGGGAAGCAUGACGGAGCAACGCCGCGUGAGAGGUGGAGGUGUUCGGAUCGGAAAAAUGUGUUAUUAGGGAAAAACAUAUGUGUAAAGAAAUGAGGACAAAGUGACGGUACCUAAAGAGGAAGCCACGGCUAACUACGUG